This 1238-nucleotide ribosomal RNA is filed under the name metagenome. RNAcentral describes it as "bacterial LSU rRNA". It matches the Rfam family "Bacterial large subunit ribosomal RNA", at positions 1564 to 2813 of the family's 2925-position model. The record is from RNAcentral.
UGAAUACGAGACGCUAAGGCGUCGAAGUAGUGUACGUCAUACUUCCAAGAAAAGCUUGCACUGUCAUAGAUAAAAAACGCCUGUACCAUAACCGACACAGGUGGGUAGGUAGAGUAUACUAAGGGGCGCGAGAUAACUCUCUCUAAGGAACUCGGCAAAAUAACUCCGUAACUUCGGGAGAAGGAGUGCCUUAUUCUUAAGGUUGCAAUAACAAGAUCCAAGCAACUGUUUAUCAAAAACACAGGUCUCCGCUAAGUCGUAAGACGAUGUAUGGGGGCUGACGCCUGCCCAGUGCCAGAAGGUUAAAGAAGCUGGUUAGCAUUUGCGAAGCUAGUAACUGAAGCCCUGGUGAACGGCGGCCGUAACAAUAACGGUCCUAAGGUAGCGAAAUUCCUUGUCGGGUAAGUUCCGACCCGCACGAAAGGCGUAAUGAUUUGGAUACUGUCUCGGAGAGGGGCUCGGUGAAUAGACUUGUCUGUGAAGAUGCGGACUACCUGCACCAGGACAGAAAGACCCUAUGAAGCUUUACUGUAACUUGAAAUUGAAAUUGGACUUUAUUCGCGCAGUAUAGGUGGGAGGCGUUGAUUAUAAUCUUGCGGGAUUAUUGGAGCCAUUAGUGAGAUACCACUCUUGUAAUGUUAGAUUUCUAACUUUGAAUCAUUAUCUGGUCAAAGAACAGUUUCAGGCGGGCAGUUUGACUGGGGCGGUCGCCUCCUAAACGGUAACGGAGGCGUACAAAGGUUUCCUCUGAACGGUUAGAAAUCGUAUCUAGAGUGUAAAGGCAUAAGGAAGCUUGACUGUGAGACCUACAAGUCGAGCAGGGACGAAAGUCGGUCUUAGUGAUCUGACGGUACUGAGUGGAAAGGCCGUCACUCAACGGAUAAAAGUUACUCUAGGAUAACAGGCUGAUCUCCCCCAAGAGUUCACAUCGACGGGGAGGUUUGGCACCUCGAUGCCGGCUCAUCGCAUCCUGGGGCGGUAGUACGUCCCAAGGGUUGGGCUGUUCGCCCAUGAAAGCGGUACGCGAGCUGGGUUCAGAACGUCGUGAGACAGUUCGGUCCAUAUCCGGUGUAGGCGUUAGAAUAUUGAGAGGAGCCUUCUUUAGUACGAGAGGACCGAGAAGGACAUACCUCUGGUGCACCAGUUAUCGUGCCAACGGUAAACGCUGGGUAGCUAUGUAUGGAGUGGAUAACCGCUGAAAGCAUCUAAGUGGGAAGCCCACCUAAAGAUAAGUAUUC